RNAcentral lists this ribosomal RNA (469 nucleotides) under uncultured bacterium. RNAcentral describes it as "partial 16S ribosomal RNA". It matches the Rfam family "Bacterial small subunit ribosomal RNA", at positions 28 to 507 of the family's 1533-position model. The record is from RNAcentral.
GAUGAACGCUGGCGGCGUGCUUAACACAUGCAAGUCGAACGGUGAGGCUCCAGCUUGCUGGAGUGGAUCAGUGGCGAACGGGUGAGUAACACGUGAGCAACCUGCCCCUGACUCUGGGAUAACAGCCGGAAACGGCUGCUAAUACCGGAUAUGCACCAUGAACGCAUGUUCUGUGGUGGGAAAGAUUUUUCGGUUGGGGAUGGGCUCGCGGCCUAUCAGCUUGUUGGUGAGGUAAUGGCUCACCAAGGCGUCGACGGGUAGCCGGCCUGAGAGGGUGACCGGCCACACUGGGACUGAGACACGGCCCAGACUCCUACGGGAGGCAGCAGUGGGGAAUAUUGCACAAUGGGCGAAAGCCUGAUGCAGCAACGCCGCGUGAGGGAUGACGGCCUUCGGGUUGUAAACCUCUUUUAGCAGGGAAGAAGCGAGAGUGACGGUACCUGCAGAAAAAGCGCCGGCUAACUACGUG